GUUCGGGUGGCGGAAUUGGCAGACGCGUUAGGUUGAGGGCCUAAUGGAGUAAUAUCCGUGCGGGUUCAAAUCCCGCCCCGAAUACCA
This 87-nucleotide transfer RNA is filed under the name Victivallales bacterium. RNAcentral describes it as "tRNA-Leu". It matches the Rfam family "tRNA". Rfam says of the family: Transfer RNA (tRNA) molecules are approximately 80 nucleotides in length. Their secondary structure includes four short double-helical elements and three loops (D, anti-codon, and T loops). RNAcentral also lists the same sequence under 1 other name. Lineage: Bacteria; Pseudomonadati; Lentisphaerota; Lentisphaeria; Victivallales. The record is from RNAcentral.